This 440-nucleotide ribosomal RNA is filed under the name uncultured bacterium. RNAcentral's name for it is "partial 16S ribosomal RNA". It matches the Rfam family "Bacterial small subunit ribosomal RNA", at positions 338 to 795 of the family's 1533-position model. The record is from RNAcentral.
UCUACGGGAGGCAGCAGUGGGGGAUAUUGCACAAUGGGGGGACCCCUUAUGCAGCGACGCCGCGUGGGUGAAGAAGCGCCUCGGCGCGUAAAGCCCUGUCAGCAGGGAAGAAAAUGACGGUACCUGAAGACGAAGCCCCGGCUAACUACGUGCCAGCAGCCGCGGUAAAACGUAGGGGGCAAGCGUUAUCGGGAUUUACGGGGUGUAAAGGGUGCGCAGCCGGGGGUGAAAGCAAGGAGUGAAAGCCCGGGGCCCAACACCUGGACUGCGCGUGGGACGGGGUGGCUGGAGUGAAUGAGGGGUAGGCGGAAUGCCUGGGGUAGAGGUGAAAGGCGUAGAUAUCAGGAGGAACACCGGUGGCGAAGGCGGCAUGCUGGACUGCAACUGACGUUGAGGCCCGAAAGCGUGGGGAGCAAACAGGAUUAGAUACCCCAGUAGUC